This 67-nucleotide transfer RNA is filed under the name Drosophila mediopunctata. Its description in RNAcentral is "tRNA-Asp". Lineage: Eukaryota; Metazoa; Arthropoda; Insecta; Diptera; Drosophilidae. The record is from RNAcentral. RNAcentral also lists the same sequence under 1 other name.
AAAAAAUUAGUUAAAACUAUAACAUUAGUAUGUCAAACUAAAAUUAUUAAUAUUUUAAUAUUUUUUA